AAGACCAGUUCUAAGGGAUUUCCCUAGUUCAUUCCUGAUCUUUCUUUUCCUAACUCUCGUCUCCAUUUAAGACUUUAAGUCUUUUUUUCUAAAUUUAUUUAUUUAUUUAUUUCCUUUUUAUUUAUUUAUUUAUUUUUCCUGCUCUACAGCUUGGGGACCAAGUUACACAUACAUGUAUACAUACUUUUUCCUCCCAUUGUUGUGUUUCAAUGUAAGUAUCAAGACAUAGUUCCCAAGACUACACAGCAGGAUCUCAUUGUAAAUCCAUCUCUUAAAGUCUUAAAUUCUCCAGCCAUUAAGUCUUCUCCCAAUAGGGUGUUCUGGAAUCUGAACCUAGUGGCCCAGAAGGAACGCCCAGUAUGUGUGUUAUAAGGUGGAGUGAUGUGUGUGUCUGCAGGUUUGUACCAGAGCCAGCAGUAAGGACUGGAAAGGGCAAGACUUUGCACGACGUCUUUUCAACAAUCCAGCGAAACCAGGAGAGGGAGUUCCAGUUGUGGCUCAGUGGUAACGAACCGGACUAGUACCCAUGAGGAUGCAAGUUUGAUCCUUGGCCCCAUUCAGUGGGUUAAGGAUCUGGUGUUCCCAUGAGUGGUGUGGGUCGCAGAUGUGGCUGGGAUCCCGAGUUGCUGUGGCUCUGGUGUAGGCCGGUGGCUACUGCUCUGAUUAGACCCCUAGCCUGGGAACCUCCAUAUGCCAUGAGUGGGGCCCUAAAAAGCAAAAAAUGAAACAAAACAAAACAAAAACCAAACCAAAACAAACGAACAGAACAGGAGAGAAGGGGGUACCUGCUGUGACCCAGAAUCCCUCUCAUGCUGUGGUCCUCUUCCUCCACCUCUUAUGUGGUGUGGGUUAAGGGGAGAAUUGUCACAGGAUAUCACCCUACUGUCCCAUCUUCCCUGUGCUCCUAUCCCCACCCAACUCCAAAUACUUCUUAAGCCACUCAAACCCACAGGAGUAGGAAAGGGGUGCGUUGUUUGGGGGAGGGGCAGUCCCACGUGCCCCAUCUGGGGGAAAGGGCUGACUUUUUGGACCUGAGCCUAAGCGCUUUCUGUCCAUGCCAAGGGCUGCCUCCUGCAUCUGGGCCUGUGGGGUUAGAAGAGCUGCCAAAAUCCUGAACUGGGCAAUGACAGUGGACAGCCUAGAUCUUGGCCACUGACUCUGCCUCAGCCCUAGGGUCAUUCGGGACGUCUCUGGAGUUCCUUCCCCCCGCCAGGCCCUGGAACAGCCAUCCAGGCUCUGAAGUAGACUUGAGAAAGGCAUAAAGAAACCCCACAAGUCCCCUGUUUCAACCUAAAAGCCCUUCCAGGGGCAGGAACCCCAAGUGAGUGAAAAAGUACAAUUCACCAUUAAGCGGGAGUGUGGAGAAUCCCAUCCAGGGCUGUUUCUGGAUGGGACUUGCCCCCAACACUUGCAGUGCAGCCAACAGGAGUAUUUGUCCUUUCUCAAAAGACGAAGCCUGAAACCCUUUGCCUCCUUGUUCCAGAGAUCCAUUCGGCCCUAAACAGCCAGCCUUCCUUCCAGGAUUGCCUGUAGCCCUGAGCAACAGGUGGCUUAUUUCAGGCUGAAGGACAAGAGGCCUACUACCCCUGUGCCAAGGACGUCCCGCGGGGUCCUCACCUUUGAGCCCCGCCCACCAACCAAUGAGGACUCACAGAGGUGACGUCACUACAUCCUGUUUCCCAGCCCAGCCGGGAGCAUGGGACCCGGUGGGGAAAAGAGCCAAUGUAAAUGACGGAUGCCACGACCAUGUUGGUAAAGACGUGGAAGGCAAAUGAGUCAGCAGCAAGUUUAAGCAACGAACAAUUGCACCACGGGGUGUUUCUCAAAUUCUUGUCUACUUUUAGAAAGUAUGCAAUGCCAUCCGGUUGAGCGUCUUGGUUCUGAAAUAGCUACAGAAAAUGUUAAAAAUGCUGUGGGUGAAGAUGUGCCCACAUGUAUCGCUCUUCUAAAACAAUAGUUAACAAUGGCACAGCGUGUCCUCGGCACAUCUUUUCAUCUUGCUGUACCUUAGUUUCCUCACCCGGAACAUGAGCGGAAUGUGUGCACAUUGUCUUGGGAGAUUCCUUUCGGUCUGACGGUCCAUGUUAUGGUAUCAUGCUCACAGUCUUAAUACUCAGACUGGGUCUACACAGUGCCAAGACCACUAGCCAGUUCAGUGAGUGUGGACAAAAUGUUCUCUCCAAUCAAUUCCUUGGCACCAUGUGGCUAAAACAGCCAGGCCUAUGUGUGACUACAGAUGGUGGGAGUAUAAGAAAAAGGACAACUCAUUAUUGAUGUUUCAGAUGCCGUCAUGUUAUGGAUGACACUGGCAGGGACCCCAAGGGAUGAGACCUAUCUCUGCUGGAGAACGUUGGGCAUCUUAAUAGAUAAGAUAAUGAAGCGAAGCCUUAACAGCAAACACUCAUUAAACUUUAACGAUUUCUAUCUACCCUCGUCCCACAAGCAGCUUCCACACAUGCCUCUGCGCAGCUGUGGCCUCAGGACUGAGGCGCAGUGUAGACCGUGUUCAUCGGAACGGCGUUGGAUGACUUUAUUGACCAACUCGGCUCAGCUUUUCUAAGGGGAAAAGCUCUGUUCGUACCAAAGGCUUCUCCAGGCCCUUCCCCAACACCUCUGAUUAAACAGGCUGAGCUCCCCAGAGAACAAUCCGCACCAGGAUGCAGCGAAGCCCAGCAGUGGUCUUUCCUGAUGCUCUGGUCCUCCUCGCCCUGCCCGCUGACGGAUGACUCCGCUCCGUGACUUUACUGAACUCCAGUUCGCCCACCUCCCCACGCUCGUGUCCUUGGCUGUGAGCAGGUGCACUUGUGACCUGGGAGAGAACCCAAACUAACACCGACCCUGACCCCUGACGGGACUGUUAGACUCGCAGCAGAGUCAGAUGGGAGCUGCAGGGCAAGGCUCCCCUUACAUGUGGUCUGAACCCAGGGGAGUUCACCUCGCUGAGUUAAACUCGAUGUGCUGUGACUGCCGGGCCAUGGUGCUUCGUAUCUGACUCCCAAGGGACUCUCCCUCAAGUGACUGCAAGCUCCUUGGGCACUUUUCUAUUUUGGCAUCCCCUGGGAUCAUGCAGAGCACAGAGGGAUGCUCAGGCAGAAAGCACUUUGUGUCUCUGUGUCACCUUUUGGUUAAAAGGACUUUAAAAGUCAUGUUCUGGGAUGGCCUGCUUUGUACCUACCAGAGAGCAGGGUUUGCAGAGUCAGGCGACUUUAGGGGUCUGCUUACACUCUAACCUGAUCAGGGACCUGGUUGCUAAGCGACCUUUCAAUGGAGAUUAGUGAUAACAAACUCAGCAAAGAGCUGAGGCUUGAGAAAGGAAU
RNAcentral lists this long non-coding RNA (3317 nucleotides) under Sus scrofa (pig). RNAcentral describes it as "lncRNA (ENSSSCG00040052803.1)". Lineage: Eukaryota; Metazoa; Chordata; Mammalia; Artiodactyla; Suidae. The record is from RNAcentral.